Molecule: non-coding RNA, 636 nt
Organism: Ictidomys tridecemlineatus (thirteen-lined ground squirrel)
Lineage: Eukaryota; Metazoa; Chordata; Mammalia; Rodentia; Sciuridae
Source: RefSeq, a predicted model, not a curated record
UCUGCGGGGAGAGAACCAUAUGGUACAAUGCAAAUUUCAACUAAGGUUUCACUUACUAACAUUAGAACAACAAUAAUAAAAAAAAUUCCACCACGACGACGUUCUUACUUUCAUUCUGCUCUGCGUGCUCCUGCUGAUGAGAACUGUCGCCAGGCGGAAGGCUGGGUCGGGUUCCAGGAGGAUCCCCGGACAUCAGGAUGUUUGCAAUGGUCAAGAAUAAGGAGAUAUUUUGUGAUAUAUUUUUCAACCACUUCAAGAAAAAUAAAGUGGAGAUAGCAACUGCAAUAACAAAGCUGUUUCCUUUCCUAGAGGGCCUCAGAGACCGAUCCUUUAUCACCGAACAAAUCUAUGCUGAUUCUCAAGAAGCCUUUAGAAACCUGGUUCCUGUAGCCAGAGUGGUGUACCGUGUUCUUGGCCACCUUGAGAAGGUGUUUGAUUGGUCACUUCUACAAACCCUGUUCAGCAAAGUGAACCUGAAGGAGUACCCUGGCUUAAUACAGAUUUAUAAAACCUUUGAAAAUGUGUUCCAAGAAAAAUAUGUUUCCCAGAGAGGAGACCCGGAAGGAAGGCCACAAACGUCCAUCACUCAGCCAAGCCGUGAGCAAGGUACUUAGGACCGAGUACAAACUUGGUUUU